GGAUGUGAGGGCAAUCUGGCUGUGACAUCUGUCACCUCACUGAUCACCAGGGUUGAUUCUCUGCUGAUCUGGCUGGCUAGGCGGGUGUCCCCUUCCUCCCUCACCGCUCCAUGUGCAUCCCUCCCGAAGCUGCGCACUAGGUCCAAGAGGACGGCCUUCCCCGAAUAGAGACGACCGGUCUUUAGUCUAGGGUGUAGCUGUGUGUGUGUGUGUGUUUCUCUCUCUCUCUCUCUCCUGUGUCUAUCUUUAAAAAAUUAAAUAAAUAAAUGUUAGAAGAAGGCAACCUGGAGCCAGGUGGUGGCACACCUGGUU
Unclassified non-coding RNA from Erinaceus europaeus (western European hedgehog), 312 nucleotides. Its record names the gene 7SK. It matches the Rfam family "7SK RNA". From Rfam's summary of the family: 7SK was discovered as an abundant small nuclear RNA in the mid-70s but a possible function has only recently been suggested. Two independent studies have found that 7SK RNA binds the CDK9/cyclin T complex (known as elongation factor P-TEFb). The record is from Ensembl. NCBI's taxonomy places the organism in Eukaryota, Metazoa, Chordata, Mammalia, Eulipotyphla, Erinaceidae.